Molecule: long non-coding RNA, 409 nt
Filed under: Solanum tuberosum (potato)
Lineage: Eukaryota; Viridiplantae; Streptophyta; Magnoliopsida; Solanales; Solanaceae
Description: long non-coding RNA (STUB_LNC006370)
Source: RNAcentral
UUGAUUUUUUAAUUUAAAAGCUCAAAGAAUUAUUUUGAAACUUUGACAUUUAAUUUAUUUUACGCCACGUGCAUUCCUGAAUUUUUUGAUAAAUAAUUGCUAUCUUUAUAUGAUUUGACUAUCAUAUAAAGCAACAUUGUAUGGCAAUAACUCUUUAUUAUGAAAAUAGAUAAUAUAUUUGGAUUGAAUCCGUAUUUCGAUCAUAUGAAUGUCCUAUAUAUCUUUAAAAAACAUGAUAACAAUUGUUAGAAUAUAUAAAUUUAUAUCAAGCUUUAAUUUUUUAAUAUGCAAUUGAUUUUAUUUUAAUUUCUUUUAACAAAUAAUCUAUUACUCUUGAAAAUUCUUUAAGAGUUCUAAUUCAAAUCAUGCAAAACAAUAUGAAAGAUUAUGAUUUUCAUAAAAAUAUAAC